GUCCGCUGUUGCAAACGUAGCUAAUCGGCCUACAAGAAAAAAAAAAACCGCAAAGGAAUAAAACGUUGCUCAGCUUUUCGUCUCACAAGUUAAUGUACUUCACAGUAGUUGCACUAUUUGAACGCUCCUAGAUACUUUCCCUUGUUAGGUUUUACUUACUUGCUUGCGGUCCUCACCCCUAAAAACAGCAAACAAAUAAUUCUCAAUUGACCACAAUUUCUAAAGAUUUAUCAUUAAUAAUUAAAGAUGCGGACGAACA
Long non-coding RNA from Drosophila elegans, 259 nucleotides. RefSeq lists it as uncharacterized. The record is from RefSeq and is a predicted model, not a curated record. The transcript is spliced from 2 exons. NCBI's taxonomy places the organism in Eukaryota, Metazoa, Arthropoda, Insecta, Diptera, Drosophilidae.